This is a long non-coding RNA of Daucus carota subsp. sativus, 954 nucleotides long. RefSeq lists it as uncharacterized. The record is from RefSeq and is a predicted model, not a curated record. Lineage: Eukaryota; Viridiplantae; Streptophyta; Magnoliopsida; Apiales; Apiaceae. The transcript has 6 exons.
UGGUUUCGUCUCACUUUUUUUAGUUUCGUCUCUCCGCUACACUGAUGUUUAGAAACCGUCUCCUGCUCGACACUCUCUCCCAACCCUAUUAGGUCUCUCUCUCCCAACAGAGAUUGACAAGCGUCGAGUCUCCCCACCCACCCCCGCCUGGCUCUCUUCCCUUUAAACCAUCAGAAGCUUUGCCUCUCAAUUGAUAGGCAAUGGCGAAAGACAAUGGGUUGCUCGCUGUAAUGACAAUGGCGAAAGACAAGUAGCAAAAAUCAUCCAUCACAUCUUUUACUUCCAGAGGCGACUUCCUUGCUAUUCUUUACCCCGAGUGCUACGUCAAAGCUAGAGAUUGACAAUCUGCUACCAUAAUGGAGAGCUGUUGGCACUUGGCAUAGGAGCUUGGUAUUAAUUGAACUGCAAGUCCCUGUAGUUCUCUUCUUUUCUGCCACUGAUCACUUAUCCAACAUAACUUGUCACUCAUCUUACACUUGGCAUUGCUUUGCGUGCGGUAUUGGAUGCACUACGCCAUCCAUCUCUUAAGAACUUCAUCUCCCCUGAAGGUCAUUUUUUGGUUGCCUACUUGCUAGGUGUUCUUCCAAAAAGAUAUAGAGUACCUACCAUGGAUGAUCUAAAUCAGGACGAACUUGCUGGAGGAAGGGUAGACUUUCUUGACCUUCUUGAAGAAUGUGUCCAGUAUUAAGUGUUAUAGUCGGAGGCUUAGUAGCAGAACAUUCGGUGUGUUUAGUUGCUCAGCAGGACUUCUCUGAUGUGGAGAAGGUGGGCAACAUGUCCUGUGUGCUAAUCCUUGGAGAUUCAUCAGAAUCGUAUAUUACUGGGUUUUUUUUCCCUUUUUUAAAAUUAUUUUUAAUUCAUUUUCAUGUAAGACUUAUAAUACAAUUGAUUUAGACAAUUAAUAUUGUUAUUAUUGGUAAGAGUCGUUUUUUAGUAGAGUUAUCAAGUUUAAUA